UUGAUAUUGUAGUUUUCAUUUAUUACUCUGUACAGGUAUGUACAACUACCUUGACAAUACAUUUUCAUUAAAAUAAAAUGGAAAUUCUUCAUGGGGCAGAAAUUGACGUGUAGUGAAAUCUAGCGUUUUUGCUACGCUUUCACUACGAUGCCCACAUUGUGCGCAUAGCUUUAGUUUUGAUCAAUGAAACUCUCCUACAUGGCCAUUAUCCUCAAGGGAUACGUAUUUUUUUUUUAAUAUCUACAUUAGCUUUAGAUAACGACAGCUUUUAACAGCAUAGAUUAAGAGCCAUCUAUAUAAACGGGCUAUCAACAAACAUUACUGCUUAUCGGGUAAAUCUCCCGCAAAACGAGUUUCACUUCGGGUUUUUCUUUUCAGCGCUUUCUGGUUAAUUCCGUCGCGAUCGCCAUCUGGCCCGCUCGUCGCUUUCUAUCCUCUUAUUGCAUUUACUAUUUGGCUUUCCAAUUGGCCCCUAAGCAUACACAAGUUGCUGUUGGUCGGCUCGUGUGUAUUGCUUUGCCUUUUCUCCAUGUACAAGCUAUGCGCACAAUGUGGGCAUCGUAUUUGUUUUACCAGCACGUACCAACAGCUAACCAACAUAUAUCCCUAGUUGUUUAUGAUACUAACAUGGACACCGCCUAAUGUUCUCUGCGGACGGCUUAAUACUGAACUACGGCGUCCGUCAUCAGCCAGCCAACCGGCGAUAUCGCCUCCAUCACGGGCUAGGAGUGCGACGUAGGUGUCCCGCUUUCUCUAUUCCGCCCUCAAUCUGUAGUAAGGCGCUUACCCGUAGUGCGCGUCUACCUGUCAUUAUGGGCAAGCAACGUCCCUUUGUUCAUGCGCAUAUUUCUCUGCACGAGUGCAUAUGUGCAUGUAUAUUAGAAGAGACUUGUCGAACUCCGAUUUUAUCUUUACGGCCAAAUUUUACCGUACGCUCCAGGUCGCUCCCUCCUACGGUGAAUGAGUGGCGUACCAUCGUUUCUGUCAAGCUUCGAUGCCUUUUCUCGGCCCCUUUACCCUUCACCUGUCACUCUAUCUAUCUGCGAGUCCACAUUUCAUUCCGUAUUGCCGUUCCGAAGCGUUAUGUCUACCUGUUUUGAACCUAUGCCGGCCGUCGAGCACCUGGCCACCGCCAGUGGUCACGGUCCUUUAUCGGCGUUACCGUCCUGCUCAAAAAUGAGAGUAACAAAAUAGUAGCAUGUAUUAAACUAAUGAACGAUCCAACAUUUACCGCCUAUCCUUAACAAUGAUUCAAUGAGUCGAGGCUCUUCGAGACUAUGUAAUUGGAUCAACACCGCUAUCUUGUUCCGCGCUUACGCCCACCGUCGCUGUUAUCUUGCGGCGGAACGGCGAUGGCCUUCGCCACUACGACUGCCCUAGUUGCAAGGUUUCUUCGCGGUCGUCACGAAAUUAAGAGAACACGAUCAUUGUCGUAUUAGUGGUCCAGAUUAAGGCGGGUGCAAUAACGAUGUUGGUUGUAGUGGUGGACAUUGCUGACAUCAUAGUCGUUGUUGUUGUCGGCCUAGCGGGCGCGGGCGGUCGAGCGAGCGGAUGUACGAUAGCCAACAUCGUCGUAAUUGUUCCGGGAGUGCCAGCGGUCCAACUGGACGGAAUCAACGAGCGAGUUACCUCGUUCCCGUGUCUGGCUGUCUACCGGUAGUCACUUCAACCUAUGACGCUUUCAACGGACAACGCACCGUGUCCAGCAUUGCCGACUAACUUAAAUUUCAAACAAAAACAGUCAUUUUAUUGAACACCGAUUCCAGUGGAAGACCUAUCAAAGACAUGAUGUCGUCAAGGCUUCACUGACAUAUCAGUAGUUGGAAAAAAACAUAACCUUCCCUCCGAAGCAAGAUCGACAACAAUUUCUGGUGAUUCACCGCUGUUACCGCUAAAGCCAGCUGCAAUCAAGCUACGCUUUAGGUCGCACACAUCGAGUCCUAGGCUAUUUGGCUAGAUUACGCGGAAUGUGGGUUCAACAUUUUUGUCACCAGCAACCUGUAGAAAGACAAAAACGCCAACAACCCUUCGGCCAAAUCCUGUCUCCCCCUUAAUUCGGCUUCUCUCCGCACCUCACCCUUAGUUCGGCUCUUGGCCAGUGCCGAGUAGCGCGUGUGUGGGUCGAAUCGACGGCACCAUCCGUCAAUUUCGCGAAUCGGCCAACAAUAGCACCGACAGCGGCUGUUGGUGUGGUUUCUCUAUGCCUGUUUAUGGGUGAUGCUGUAUGUAGGCCGUAGGCUGCAGUAGGCGUGUGUUGCUCUGCAAGAGUCGUCCGUUCGUUGGCUGGCUUGGACAACCUAUCUGUUUCUAGCUAGGCCGUGCCCGUGUAACCCGUCGUAAGAGAGUUCUGCUGAUGAAAGCGAUUCAACAGUGAACGGUGGGUCGAUGUGUGUUUGGUGCUGAUUCCUGCUGGGCCGAUUGCUACGCCGUUGCCCCUCCUGUGGUGGCAGAACUGGUUGUUGAUUAGGAACGAAUCUUCGUCGCCGUCAUCAUCCGAGCAGUCUGAACGACCUGCCGCUGCUGCUGUUGUUACCGAGAGAUUUAGACCUGCCGCUGCUGCUGCUCACUUAAUGCUGUUGUUGGUGUGGCUAGUGCGAACAGCCGCAAUAGUUACAGCAUCGGCGGCACGGGCGCACGUUAGGCGGUGAACAGUAUCUGUAUUGUUUGCCUGCUUUCGGCAGUGUAAGUAAUACUUGUAGUACGAUAGCAUUACAGUAGCGUGCUAGAUGCUGAGGACCGACAGCGUUGCAACCGAUAGUAACGAAAUCAUUGGCUGAAAAAAGCAGCAGCAGCAGCAGCAGCAGUAGCAACACGAACAGAGUAAGCAACAUAAAGGUAGCGAAGCGGCGGCAACGAGCUAACUGGCUCGAACUCCGCUAAUUAGUAUCAGCUUUACAAGCAGCAGGAAUUGUGAAGGGAAAGCCACUCGAGCAGUGUCUGUUGACGCUAGCUAACUAGCUAGUUUUAGCCGGGGGUUGAUCUGUUGGCCCCCUUUUCGUGGACGAAUCUGAACAUCUAACGUAGUACUAGUAGCAGCAACCGUCACGACGCUUGCGGCGGGCGCGACGACAAACAUUCGUCGUCGUCGUCGUCGUCGUCGUUGUUCUUGUCUUGUUGUGCCCAACAUCAUUACCCACUCGUUGGCUGUUGCCGCUGUCGCUUAUUGCUAUAGUGGAAAUUGUUGUGGACGUUCUUAUAACAACUCUCUGGCGAUUAUAUUUGUUAGUCGCUGUGUUAUCGAUGCGGUGGCCGUAUGGACUGGGGAGGUGCGUGCGUUGCGUGUCGAGGCAAUAGGAGACAUUUUGCGUGACGUUACAUCACUAGUUGUCAUAGGCGACGGCGACGGCGGCGAAGGUUUUCGUACGAGAAACGACCGUGAAGCUGACUAACGGAGGAGGUGGAUAAUUUCGCUCGACGGCGUCAAAUGUAGCAGUAAGGCCGACAACGAGAAAACGAUGCAAAGUUAUCUCCGUAAGAACUUACACUACUGCUAGGUGGAAUACAAUCGAAGUCAUCACCAUCAUCAUCAUCAUCAUCGUCACUAGUAUCUCUGCGUGGUACGCACGCAACAACCCAGCCCCACCGGUGGCUACCGUUCGUUCUGGUAUCGACCAUCAUCAGAAUCUAAUUGUGGCCUUAGUGCGCGUCCCGUGUUUUCAGUCUGCCUGCCAGUCGUUAUUCAACGACAAAGACAUUGCAUUUAGCAGCAUUAAACUGUAGCAACGCGUUGUCGUCGUAUUUAUCGCGCUGUGUCUCUCUCGAGCAAAAAAAAAUCGAUUUCCGUUGAUCAGGACCGGUGCCUAAGUGCAAGUGAAGGUGCCGCUAGCAGGAACGGCGUCAUCGUACGACGUGAGGGUUCCAUCGGGUUUGAUCGUUUCCGCCGAAAUUUGUGCUUGCUUAUGCGAAAUCGUGAUUUGUGGCCGGUAUAUUGUAAGGUGCCAACUAGACAACUUCAAGAAUAACACCAAACGAUCCGGAGAAAGUGACCGCUGCUGGAGAGUGUCAGCAAACGCAACGACAAUACCGACGAUAACGAGUAAAAAGAGCAAAUCUGCACGACGACCAAAAGAGAACGAGGCAAAAGAAGCAACAACACAUUCAGAGAGGUGUCGACGGCGCGUCGAGCAUUGACUGCUACCUGUCUCAACGAGCACUUCAGUCGGAAAGAACAUAGUGACAGUGACGCAGAACGGCGUCGAGUAACGUGCGAUCCAAACGUGAUCGGUGACGCUAGCGACGCGAUAAAUAUCUAGGCAAUAGCGUCAAGACAUUCGUGAUUUAUUCACCGGUGUUCACUGCGUGUUUUGUGGUCGUUCCCGCCCGUGUUUAGGGUGUGUACGUGCAUGCCAGUGACAGCGGCAUUUGCCGUGGAGUUUCAAUAAUCGGUUGAAGCAGAGUAGUGUGUGAGACAUAGCUCGUGGUGAUUUUUCGUGGCACCUGCUCGCCAGUGUAGUAGUUUGUGCGCGUGGAAAUAGCCAUCCAGCACCAGCGUUCCAGUAGCUGCAACGCUGCCUGUGGACUUCGCAGCUGGUAAAAACGAAAAGAGAGUCCUUCAGAAGCCCAGGCUGUGACCUUACCCGGCGACUUUAUCAGCGCUUUGUCUUGCGUCAGAAUUAAAUGUCGGAACAAUAAUAACCAACCACAGCGAAAAUAGAGCUAUAUCUGAGCAGAACACUAGACUACCCAAACGCUAAACUUCGUAAAAAAAGAAUUUGGAAAAAGGAAAAGUUCUUCAGGAUUUUUCAGUCUCCUUUUGUGUCUAUUAAGAGCGAUUGUACCA
This is a long non-coding RNA of Varroa destructor (honeybee mite), 4780 nucleotides long. The record is from RefSeq and is a predicted model, not a curated record. Lineage: Eukaryota; Metazoa; Arthropoda; Arachnida; Mesostigmata; Varroidae.